GAUUUCGGUUCCACAAGCACAUGAGCCUAUUCCAAAUCCAACCAAUCUUAUAAUCCAUUCGAGUGGUGUGAUUUCAUCAGAUUUUUUAUGGGAUUUCAUCAACAAUCAGAUUGGUAUUGCCUACGAUUUCAUCCAGUAGGAGAAUAAUGAAAGCCGGUAGUGAAUUUGUUCAAUCUAAUUCGACGGCGGCGGUGGCCUCGAAAUCGAUGACUAUUAAGGUUUAGAUUUUGAGUUAAGUGAAAUCCCAGGUUAUAUCUUCAUCAUGAUGGAGCUUCAAACAUCAUCCACUACUGAAAAGAGGCGGGACAAAAUGCAAGUCCAUUAAAAUCAGGUCAAGCUGAGGUGCUAUCAAAUUGGCAGGGGCAGGAGCAUAUGCACUCGACCACAUUGAAAUCUAAGGAGCCUGAUUUGGUGCUUGAUUCUUCUUUAAGUGUCAUUAUUACAAUUAUUACACCUGAAAUCGUAAUUUUUUGUUUAAUAUCAGAAAAACACUUGUGUGGAGAUCAUUCCAUAUGGGCCCAUCUUUAGUUCAUACAAAUCGCAUUUUCAUCGUCAACUCAGUGAAGAGGUAAUUGGUUUAUCAAGCUUUAAAUAAAUUGAUAAAAUACUGUAUAAAAAUAUGUCAAUUUCUGCUUCAUCAUGUGCUUUCACAAUCUUUUUAAUCAAUAUUUAUAAAAUUUCAUCCGAAACAUAUUUGUAGUCACGGUACCCCAAGUUAAACCUUUUGGCAUAACGAUUUGAAUUUCAUGUAAAAGUAUUUAAAGUUAUAUGCAUGCAACACCAUGAGUUUAGGUGUAAUACCCCAAGUUUUCAAAGUAAACAACCCCCGGUUCUACUAUUUAGUGUGCAAAUUGGAAUCGGGGAUCAAAGAUGGAAAAUUUAGAUUUGAGGGUCGUAACAGACCAUAGUCGUUGAUAUAACGUUCUGUUAUGAGAUUUUGAGUGGCAACGGACCGUUAUCGAAGCCAUAACAGUCCGUUACAUAGUGGCUAAGGGCAUGGCCUGGAGGUGACACGUGUCCGUAUGACUCACAUCGGUAACGGACCAUUACCAUCACGGUCCCUUUCGUGUCCACAGGUAACUAACUAACUCAACUCAUGAUGAUGUGGCUUUUAUGUUUAGUCUAUUUUAUCAACGAUUUGUUGAAGGUGUGGUGUACCAAUAGUUUGCUAAUUAUAUAUAUUCUUAUGUUUCCUGUUAAGGUAUGCACGCCUCCUAUUUGUGUAAAUGUCAUUGCUAACUGUUGACACUUGGUGUGAUCGAUAAUAAAUGAUUUGAUUCGAAUAGAUUCACAUUUGCUCUUCCUGAAUCGUGUAUUAAUUGCUUAAAAUGUGUGACUAAUCAUGAGUCUGAUUAUGUUUUAUAAUGAUUGUAAUAUGAAUGGAAGAUAAAUUUUGUUUGUUUGUUGAUUUGUGCUUUUGAUCCGGUUAUAAUUCGAAGCUACAAAGUUUUCAAAGCAUUCAUGUAUUGGAAGACAUUGGCUUUCAACAUUUAUGUAACUUGACAGUCCUUAAGAUACUUUUAUAUGUUGUUUUUAGUCUUAUUUUUGUUUAACUUGAUGAGCUUUGAUAGAAAAGAUUCGAUGUGUUGUUUGUGAGAAUUUUGAACUAUGAUUGCGGAAGUUUCUAAUAGUUAAAAGAUAAAUAAUUUUGUUUAGUUUUGCAGUAACUUAAGGAAGCAGGGUGGGCUGAUGGGGGACAUAUUAUUUCUUGUACUCAGCCAAGCUGUGCAGGUAUUGUUAUCCGUGCAGGACCGAUAGAAUAUAUUGUUGGUGAAUGUCACUAUUAUCUAUUGUCACCUUUUUAGAGUUUUUUUAGAACAUCUUUAAAUCCGUAUUACUACAUAUGUUUUCAUAGUGUUGCUGCAAGGCUGGCAGAAGAAAUGGGAGUCAAACUUGGGGAGGAAGUUGGCUAUACUAUUUGGUUUGAAGAUGUGACAAAUUUAGUCACUUGAAGUUCAGUUAAACUUAACAUGUA
Molecule: long non-coding RNA, 1975 nt
Filed under: Helianthus annuus (common sunflower)
Lineage: Eukaryota; Viridiplantae; Streptophyta; Magnoliopsida; Asterales; Asteraceae
Description: hypothetical non coding rna
Source: RNAcentral